Molecule: long non-coding RNA, 544 nt
Filed under: Homo sapiens (human)
Lineage: Eukaryota; Metazoa; Chordata; Mammalia; Primates; Hominidae
Description: HSALNT0358035
Source: RNAcentral
UGUUUUUAGCCUCGGAUCUCAUUUCACUAGUUCAUCAAAUUUCACAAUCCCUGUAAUAUUUUGAGAUGGAUUUUUUUAAAGUUCCAUUAGAAUGUCCCUUGGUGAUGUCACCAUGGUUGUGAUAAAUAACUGUAGUUUAAAGGUUACUUAACUAAGAGUACUAGACAUAACUGCCCUCACAGCACUCCUGAUAUGUGACUUAUCACCAGAUCCUGCGAUUGCUGACAGCGGUGCACAGAACAGUCUGGAAUGUUGCUAGGUCAGAAAGCUCAAUUCUGUGAAAGUGGGACAUGAAAGAUGGGAGAUGGGGAGGCGAAAAAGACAACAAGGGACAGGCAGAUGGAAAGGAUACUGCAGAGAAGACCAAGAAAGAGAAAUAGGAAGAAAAUGCAGAGUGGGUUGUCAUGGAAUCUUCAAGAAGGAAGCUCAUUGCCUGACCCACUUGUUUCAUAAUGCAAUGAAAUGCUAAAGAAUUUUAACUCCAUAAGGAAAAUCAGGGCAAGACAAUAAAAGAAACAUUAAAUAUUAGUAAAAGUACACUCAA